RNAcentral lists this ribosomal RNA (253 nucleotides) under uncultured bacterium. RNAcentral describes it as "partial 16S ribosomal RNA". It matches the Rfam family "Bacterial small subunit ribosomal RNA", at positions 524 to 776 of the family's 1533-position model. The record is from RNAcentral.
GACAGAGGCCCCAAGCGUUAAUCGGAAUUACUGGGCGUAAAGCGUGCGCAGGCGGUGAUGUAAGACAGUUGUGAAAUCCCCGGGCUCAACCUGGGAACUGCAUCUGUGACUGCAUCGCUGGAGUGCGGCAGAGGGGGAUGGAAUUCCGCGUGUAGCAGUGAAAUGCGUAGAUAUGCGGAGGAACACCGAUGGCGAAGGCAAUCCCCUGGGCCUGCACUGACGCUCAUGCACGAAAGCGUGGGGAGCAAACAGG